This is a non-coding RNA of Microcebus murinus (gray mouse lemur), 1307 nucleotides long. Lineage: Eukaryota; Metazoa; Chordata; Mammalia; Primates; Cheirogaleidae. The record is from RefSeq and is a predicted model, not a curated record.
CCAAAAACAAAACAAAAUAAAAGUCAGUCUACUCUUGCUGACUACUGGGUUAGUAACCUCCCCAGACACUUGCUUCUAUAGUGUGCCUGCUAGGGACACUCAAGGCCGCCCAGCGAGGUGUGUGUCACCUUUGCUUUAUGCAGAUUUACCUUAGAUAUUUUAGAUACCCUUCCCAGGUCCCAUGCUACCAGCAAGCACGGGGCCAGUGUCUGGCUCCAGCCUCUGUGCAAGUCCUUGGGGCUAUCUUGACUUUUGGAGGAGAACAGGAGAGAACAACGUGACACGACUGCUGCCCACCACAGUCUGGGAGUAGACCCUUCAUCCUUGCUCUAAGCUGACGUGCAUGCCAUGUCUAUGCUCCUCACAGCGAAAUGCUGUGGAGCCACGGGAAAGGUCAGGCCUUCUGAGCCAGAAAUAACCAGAAAAUCCUUUGGCUUAUUCUAAAUUGUGUAAGUUAAAUUUCCUGCCUUAACAAGUACUAGUCAGUCACACACUAAGUUCCUACUUGCUGAUUUGAUGCAGUUCAAGGGUACUCAGUGAAGUAGCCUUUGUGGAGGGGUGGGACUCUGGGUAGAGGACUGGCCCUGUGAGACUCUCUUCUGAUUGCCUAAUGUCUUCUCCUUGUGCCUUCCUCCAGGGAAGGUGGACACCCAGGCCUAGGAGGCCCAGGGACUGAGAGGAGGUCCGCCUUGGGGAGACUGAGUGGUCUAGGCAAGGGCCUGAGAAAGGCAGGAAUAGAAUGACUAUGGCAGCCCUGUUGAUGAUAACAGAGAAGAACCCACUGUGAUAGCAGCUAACAUUUCUAUGUUCAAUCACUGCACAAGCUUUUAAAAGCCUUUUGUUUAUUAAACCAUUAAACAAUGUGCUACAGAAUGAUUUUCUUUAACACAAUCAGACAUCUACAAAGAAGCGCCAAUUAGUUGUCAUUCAUAAGACAACAGCAGCAUGGUGUCACAGGCGGCAGAAGCUCAGUGCUCUAAAGGCAUCGUUUUGCCUGGUGCCAAAGAGGCACAAGCUCACACAAAAGGACCAAGUGCACUACACCUGCAAGUUGUCUCCUCACUAGACCCUGCUGAAGGCUAGCUGUUACAGGAACCCCAGGGUGGGAAAUCUCAGAGGCAGGAGAGAUUCCCCGACUGAGGAGGAGCUGCGUUCCACUUAAAUUCAAACUAAACAGCUGCAGACCACUUUCUGAGCAGCUUGCCUCAUGUACAAAACUUCCGGACUUGGAUGCUCCUUCUAUAUCCACCCUGUCUGGUCAACUCCGUUUUCUCUAUCACCAUUCACCCUUCUUCCCUGAGAAAGAA